RNAcentral lists this ribosomal RNA (518 nucleotides) under uncultured bacterium. Its description in RNAcentral is "bacterial SSU rRNA". It matches the Rfam family "Bacterial small subunit ribosomal RNA", at positions 992 to 1509 of the family's 1533-position model. The record is from RNAcentral.
AGAAUUUAGCAGAGAUGCUUUAGUGCCUUCGGGAACUCUGAGACAGGUGCUGCAUGGCUGUCGUCAGCUCGUGUUGUGAAAUGUUGGGUUAAGUCCCGCAACGAGCGCAACCCUUAUCCUUUGUUGCCAGCACGUAAUGGUGGGAACUCAAAGGAGACUGCCGGUGAUAAACCGGAGGAAGGUGGGGAUGACGUCAAGUCAUCAUGGCCCUUACGAGUAGGGCUACACACGUGCUACAAUGGCGCAUACAAAGAGAAGCGACCUCGCGAGAGCAAGCGGACCUCAUAAAGUGCGUCGUAGUCCGGAUUGGAGUCUGCAACUCGACUCCAUGAAGUCGGAAUCGCUAGUAAUCGUAAAUCAGAAUGUUACGGUGAAUACGUUCCCGGGCCUCGUACACACCGCCCGUCACACCAUGGGAGUGGGUUGCAAAAGAAGUAGAUAGCUUAACCUUCGGGAGGGCGUUUACCACUUUGUGAUUCAUGACUGGGGUGAAGUCGUAACAAGGUAAGCGUAGUGCU